AGGCUCAAGAUCUGCAGUUGGCAAGCUGAAGACCCAGGAUAGCUGAUGAUGCAGUUCUAGCCUGAGUCUGAAGGCCUGAGAACCAAGAGAACAGACGGUGAAAGUCCCAGUCUGAAUGCCGCCUGGCUCAAGACUCAAAAAGAGCUGAUGUUUCAGUUUAAGUCUGCAAGUAGGAAAAGUCUAAUGACCCAGCUCAGUCAGGCAGAAGGAGUUCCUUCUAUUUCCCAGGAAGAUUAAAGAACAAGGAGAUGGCUGGCUAUUUAAGAAGGAAAGGCAAAGGCUGCAGAAAUUGAGCCUAACGGCUUAUCAGAUGGGACGGAUGAUUCUUUAAGGUUAAAAGAACUACUCAUUUUCCCCAAUAUCUGUCUUUGCCAUCUUCCUAUCUAAUGAACCUUUCACUUUUUAGCUGGGGACAUAGCUUUCUGGUAUGAGAACUACACUGCUCAACCUUCCAUUCAGAGUCUCACUCUGUCGCCCAGGCUGGAGUGCAAUGGCACAAUCUCGGCUCACUGCAACCUCCGCCUCCUG
Long non-coding RNA from Symphalangus syndactylus (siamang), 528 nucleotides. RefSeq lists it as uncharacterized. Lineage: Eukaryota; Metazoa; Chordata; Mammalia; Primates; Hylobatidae. The record is from RefSeq and is a predicted model, not a curated record.